RNAcentral lists this transfer RNA (87 nucleotides) under Burkholderia cenocepacia. RNAcentral describes it as "tRNA-Leu". It matches the Rfam family "tRNA". From Rfam's summary of the family: Transfer RNA (tRNA) molecules are approximately 80 nucleotides in length. Their secondary structure includes four short double-helical elements and three loops (D, anti-codon, and T loops). Further hydrogen bonds mediate the characteristic L-shaped molecular structure. tRNAs have two regions of fundamental functional importance: the anti-codon, which is responsible for specific mRNA codon recognition, and the 3' end, to which the tRNAs corresponding amino acid is attached (by aminoacyl-tRNA synthetases). tRNAs cope with the degeneracy of the genetic code in two manners: having more than one tRNA (with a specific anti-codon) for a particular amino acid; and 'wobble' base-pairing, i.e. permitting non-standard base-pairing at the 3rd anti-codon position. The record is from RNAcentral. Lineage: Bacteria; Pseudomonadati; Pseudomonadota; Betaproteobacteria; Burkholderiales; Burkholderiaceae.
GGGCUCGUGGCGGAAUAGGAAGACGCACUAGGUUCAGAACCUAGCGGUUGAAAGACUUUAGGGGUUCGAGGCCCCUCGAGCCCACCA